GAUGAACGCUGGCGGCGUGCCUAAUACAUGCAAGUCGAGCGAACAGAGGAGGCUUUUUCUUCUCUUACGUUAGGGGCGGACGGGUGAUGAACACGUAUAUAACCUGCCGAGAAGGCUGACAUAAGGUCGCGAAACCUGAUCUAGUACCGGAUAAUAUAGUGAACGGGAUGGUUCAUUGGUGAUAGAGGUUUUUGCUGUCACUUAUAGGUGUAUCCUGGCCGGAUUAGCUAGUUGGUAAGGUAACGGCUUACCAAGGCAACGAUGCGUAGCCGACCUGAGAGGGUGAUCAGCCACACUGGAACUGAGACACGGUCCAGACUCCUACGGGAGGCAGCAGUAGGGAAUAUUCCGCAAUGGGCGAAAGCCUGACGCAGCAACGCCGCGUGAGUGAUGAAGGUCUUCGGAUCGUAAAACUCUGUUAUUUGGGAAGAAGAAAUGUAAAUGUAACUCUUCCCGUCUUGACGGUACCUACUGAGAAAGCAACGGCUAACUACGUG
Molecule: ribosomal RNA, 497 nt
Filed under: uncultured bacterium
Lineage: Bacteria
Description: partial 16S ribosomal RNA
Rfam family: Bacterial small subunit ribosomal RNA
Source: RNAcentral